Molecule: non-coding RNA, 114 nt
Organism: Acanthosepion pharaonis
Lineage: Eukaryota; Metazoa; Mollusca; Cephalopoda; Sepiida; Sepiidae
Source: the annotation of a GenBank genome assembly
UUACGGCCAUAUCACGUUGAAACGCCGGUUCUCGUACGAUCACCGAAGUUAAGCAACGUCGAGCCUGGUCAGUACUUAGAUGAGUGACCGCUUGGGAAUAUCAGGUGCUGUAAG